GAAAUGCGAUAAGUAAUGUGAAUUGCAGAAUUCAGUGAAUCAUCGAAUCUUUGAACGCACCUUGCGCUCCUUGGUAUUCCUUGGAGCAUGCCUGUUUGAGUAUCAUGAAAUCUUCAAAGUAAAUCUUUUGUUAACUCAAUUGGUUUCUACUUUGGUAUUGGAGGUCUUUGCAGCUUCACACCUGCUCCUCUUUGUUCAUUAGCUGGAUCUCAGUGUUAUGCUUGGUUCCACUCGGCGUGAUAAGUUAUCUAUCGCUGAGGACACUGUAAAAGGUGGCCAAGGUAAAUGCAGAUGAACCGCUUCUAAUAGUCCAUUGACUUGGACAAUACUUUUAUGAUCUGAUCUCAAAUCAGGUAGGACUACCCGCCGACCUUAAGC
Molecule: unclassified non-coding RNA, 378 nt
Filed under: plant metagenome
Description: partial contains 5.8S ribosomal RNA, internal transcribed spacer 2, and large subunit ribosomal RNA
Rfam family: 5.8S ribosomal RNA (bases 1-105)
Source: RNAcentral